GGGAGCUUGCUCCUGUCAGACGUCGACCGGCGGAUGGGUGCGUAACGCGUAUCCAACCUGCCCGUGUCCCGGGGAUAGCCCAUGGAAACGUGGAUUAAGACCCGAUGGUCCUGUGCUUCCGCAUGGCGGCGCAGGUAAACGUUAGGGAGACGGAUGGGGAUGCGUACCAUUAGGCAGCAGGCGGGGUAACGGCCCACCUGGCCCGCGAUGGUUAGGGGUUCUGAGAGGAAGGCCCCCCACACUGGGACUGAGACACGGCCCAGACUCCUACGGGAGGCAGCAGUGAGGAAUAUUGGUCAAUGGGCGGGAGCCUGAACCAGCCAAGUAGCGUGCAGGACGACGGCCCUACGGGUUGUAAACUGCUUUUAUGCGGGGAUAAAAAGUGCCACGUGUGGCAUGUUGCAGGUACCGCAUGAAUAAGGACCGGCUAAUUCCGUGCCAGCAGCCGCGGUAAUACGGAAGGUCCGGGCGUUAUCCGGAUUCAUUGGGUUUAAAGGGAGCGCAGGCGGAGAUGUAAGCCAGCCGUUAAAUCGCGCCGCUCAACGGCGUUCUGCGGUUGGAACUGUGUUUCUUGGGUGCACAAGAGGAAGGCGGAAUUCGUGGUGUAGCGGUGAAAUGCAUAGAUAUCACGAAGAACUCCGAUUGCGAAGGCAGCCUUCUGGGGUGUUACCGACGCUCAUGCUCGAAGGUGCGGGUAUCAAACAGGAUUAGAUACCCUGGUAGUCCGCACAGUAAACGAUGGACACUCGGUUUGUGGCCCUUGUGGUUGCGAAUCUCUAGCGAAAGCGUUAAGUGUCCCACCUGGGGAGUACGCCGGCAACGGUGAAACUCAAAGGAAUUGACGGGGGCCCGCACAAGCGGAGGAACAUGUGGUUUAAUUCGAUGAUACGCGAGGAACCUUACCCGGGCUUGAAAUGUGCAGGACGGCAGAGAGAGACCUCUGCUUUCUUCGGACCUGCAUGUAGGUGCUGCAUGGUUGUCGUCAGCUCGUGCCGUGAGGUGUCGGCUUAAGUGCCAUAACGAGCGCAACCCCUUCCGCCGGUUACCAUCGGGUUAUGCCGGGGACUCCGGCGGCACUGCCGCCGCAAGGCGUGAGGAAGGUGGGGAUGACGUCAAAUCAGCACGGCCCUUACGUCCGGGGCUACACACGUGUUACAAUGGGGGGCACAGCGAGCUGGUCCUUGGCGACAAGGAUCGAAUCAAUAAAUCCCCUCCCAGUUCGGAUCGGAGCCUGCAACCCGGCUCCGUGAAGCUGGAUUCGCUAGUAAUCGCGCAUCAGCCAUGGCGCGGUGAAUACGUUCCCGGGCCUUGUACACACCGCCCGUCAAGCCAUGAAAGCCGGGGGCGCCUGAAGU
RNAcentral lists this ribosomal RNA (1355 nucleotides) under uncultured bacterium. Its description in RNAcentral is "16S ribosomal RNA". It matches the Rfam family "Bacterial small subunit ribosomal RNA", at positions 74 to 1427 of the family's 1533-position model. The record is from RNAcentral.